GUGCCGUAUGAAAGGAGAGAAGGUUAGCGCUCCUCUUGAUAAGAGUGGAAGAAGUCCUAGUGACCUUCAGCACACAUAUGUUUAAGUCAUUGCCACCGACCAUCUCUACCUGAGAUUUU
Molecule: non-coding RNA, 119 nt
Filed under: Paramormyrops kingsleyae
Lineage: Eukaryota; Metazoa; Chordata; Actinopteri; Osteoglossiformes; Mormyridae
Source: RNAcentral